GCCGUAAACAUUGAUAGAUUAGUACAACCCCUAUCCGCCCGGGAACUACGAGCACCAGCUUAAAACCCAAAGGACUUGGCGGUGCUUUAGAUCCUACUAGAGGAGCCUGUUCUGCAACCGAUAACCCCCGUUCAACCUCACCCUUCCUUGUUUUCCCCGCCUAUAUACCGCCGUCGUCAGCCCACCCUAUGAGGGUCUAAAAGUAAGCUAAAUUGGCACAGCCCAAAACGUCAGGCCGAGGUGUAGCGUAUGGAAGGGGAAGAAAUGGGCUACAUUCCCUGUAUUAGGGCAUACGAAUCGUGUGUUGAAACACACAUCUUGAAGGAGGAUUUAGCAGUAAGCAGGAAAUAGAGCGUCCUGCUGAAAUUGGCUC
This 373-nucleotide ribosomal RNA is filed under the name Cygnodraco mawsoni (Mawson's dragonfish). RNAcentral describes it as "partial 12S ribosomal RNA". It matches the Rfam family "Bacterial small subunit ribosomal RNA", at positions 799 to 1374 of the family's 1533-position model. The record is from RNAcentral. Lineage: Eukaryota; Metazoa; Chordata; Actinopteri; Perciformes; Bathydraconidae.